Molecule: small nuclear RNA, 108 nt
Filed under: Salvator merianae (Argentine black and white tegu)
Lineage: Eukaryota; Metazoa; Chordata; Lepidosauria; Squamata; Teiidae
Source: RNAcentral
AUGCUUGCUUUGGCAGCACAUAUACUAAAANUUCUACUGAUACAGAGAAGAUUAGCAUGGCCCCUGUGCAAGGAUGGCAUGCAAAUUCGUUAAGCAUUCCCUAUUCUU